RNAcentral lists this ribosomal RNA (2902 nucleotides) under Escherichia coli. Its description in RNAcentral is "bacterial LSU rRNA". It matches the Rfam family "Bacterial large subunit ribosomal RNA". Lineage: Bacteria; Pseudomonadati; Pseudomonadota; Gammaproteobacteria; Enterobacterales; Enterobacteriaceae. The record is from RNAcentral.
UUAAGCGACUAAGCGUACACGGUGGAUGCCCUGGCAGUCAGAGGCGAUGAAGGACGUGCUAAUCUGCGAUAAGCGUCGGUAAGGUGAUAUGAACCGUUAUAACCGGCGAUUUCCGAAUGGGGAAACCCAGUGUGAUUCGUCACACUAUCAUUAACUGAAUCCAUAGGUUAAUGAGGCGAACCGGGGGAACUGAAACAUCUAAGUACCCCGAGGAAAAGAAAUCAACCGAGAUUCCCCCAGUAGCGGCGAGCGAACGGGGAGGAGCCCAGAGCCUGAAUCAGUGUGUGUGUUAGUGGAAGCGUCUGGAAAGGCGCGCGAUACAGGGUGACAGCCCCGUACACAAAAAUGCACAUGCUGUGAGCUCGAUGAGUAGGGCGGGACACGUGGUAUCCUGUCUGAAUAUGGGGGGACCAUCCUCCAAGGCUAAAUACUCCUGACUGACCGAUAGUGAACCAGUACCGUGAGGGAAAGGCGAAAAGAACCCCGGCGAGGGGAGUGAAAAAGAACCUGAAACCGUGUACGUACAAGCAGUGGGAGCACAGAGCAAUCUGUGUGACUGCGUACCUUUUGUAUAAUGGGUCAGCGACUUAUAUUCUGUAGCAAGGUUAACCGAAUAGGGGAGCCGAAGGGAAACCGAGUCUUAACUGGGCGUUAAGUUGCAGGGUAUAGACCCGAAACCCGGUGAUCUAGCCAUGGGCAGGUUGAAGGUUGGGUAACACUAACUGGAGGACCGAACCGACUAAUGUUGAAAAAUUAGCGGAUGACUUGUGGCUGGGGGUGAAAGGCCAAUCAAACCGGGAGAUAGCUGGUUCUCCCCGAAAGCUAUUUAGGUAGCGCCUCGUGAAUUCAUCUCCGGGGGUAGAGCACUGUUUCGGCAAGGGGGUCAUCCCGACUUACCAACCCGAUGCAAACUGCGAAUACCGGAGAAUGUUAUCACGGGAGACACACGGCGGGUGCUAACGUCCGUCGUGAAGAGGGAAACAACCCAGACCGCCAGCUAAGGUCCCAAAGUCAUGGUUAAGUGGGAAACGAUGUGGGAAGGCCCAGACAGCCAGGAUGUUGGCUUAGAAGCAGCCAUCAUUUAAAGAAAGCGUAAUAGCUCACUGGUCGAGUCGGCCUGCGCGGAAGAUGUAACGGGGCUAAACCAUGCACCGAAGCUGCGGCAGCGACACUAUGUGUUGUUGGGUAGGGGAGCGUUCUGUAAGCCUGUGAAGGUGUACUGUGAGGUAUGCUGGAGGUAUCAGAAGUGCGAAUGCUGACAUAAGUAACGAUAAAGCGGGUGAAAAGCCCGCUCGCCGGAAGACCAAGGGUUCCUGUCCAACGUUAAUCGGGGCAGGGUGAGUCGACCCCUAAGGCGAGGCCGAAAGGCGUAGUCGAUGGGAAACAGGUUAAUAUUCCUGUACUUGGUGUUACUGCGAAGGGGGGACGGAGAAGGCUAUGUUGGCCGGGCGACGGUUGUCCCGGUUUAAGCGUGUAGGCUGGUUUUCCAGGCAAAUCCGGAAAAUCAAGGCUGAGGCGUGAUGACGAGGCACUACGGUGCUGAAGCAACAAAUGCCCUGCUUCCAGGAAAAGCCUCUAAGCAUCAGGUAACAUCAAAUCGUACCCCAAACCGACACAGGUGGUCAGGUAGAGAAUACCAAGGCGCUUGAGAGAACUCGGGUGAAGGAACUAGGCAAAAUGGUGCCGUAACUUCGGGAGAAGGCACGCUGAUAUGUAGGUGAAGUCCCUCGCGGAUGGAGCUGAAAUCAGUCGAAGAUACCAGCUGGCUGCAACUGUUUAUUAAAAACACAGCACUGUGCAAACACGAAAGUGGACGUAUACGGUGUGACGCCUGCCCGGUGCCGGAAGGUUAAUUGAUGGGGUUAGCGCAAGCGAAGCUCUUGAUCGAAGCCCCGGUAAACGGCGGCCGUAACUAUAACGGUCCUAAGGUAGCGAAAUUCCUUGUCGGGUAAGUUCCGACCUGCACGAAUGGCGUAAUGAUGGCCAGGCUGUCUCCACCCGAGACUCAGUGAAAUUGAACUCGCUGUGAAGAUGCAGUGUACCCGCGGCAAGACGGAAAGACCCCGUGAACCUUUACUAUAGCUUGACACUGAACAUUGAGCCUUGAUGUGUAGGAUAGGUGGGAGGCUUUGAAGUGUGGACGCCAGUCUGCAUGGAGCCGACCUUGAAAUACCACCCUUUAAUGUUUGAUGUUCUAACGUUGACCCGUGAUCCGGGUUGCGGACAGUGUCUGGUGGGUAGUUUGACUGGGGCGGUCUCCUCCUAAAGAGUAACGGAGGAGCACGAAGGUUGGCUAAUCCUGGUCGGACAUCAGGAGGUUAGUGCAAUGGCAUAAGCCAGCUUGACUGCGAGCGUGACGGCGCGAGCAGGUGCGAAAGCAGGUCAUAGUGAUCCGGUGGUUCUGAAUGGAAGGGCCAUCGCUCAACGGAUAAAAGGUACUCCGGGGAUAACAGGCUGAUACCGCCCAAGAGUUCAUAUCGACGGCGGUGUUUGGCACCUCGAUGUCGGCUCAUCACAUCCUGGGGCUGAAGUAGGUCCCAAGGGUAUGGCUGUUCGCCAUUUAAAGUGGUACGCGAGCUGGGUUUAGAACGUCGUGAGACAGUUCGGUCCCUAUCUGCCGUGGGCGCUGGAGAAUUGAGGGGGGCUGCUCCUAGUACGAGAGGACCGGAGUGGACGCAUCACUGGUGUUCGGGUUGUCAUGCCAAUGGCACUGCCCGGUAGCUAAAUGCGGAAGAGAUAAGUGCUGAAAGCAUCUAAGCACGAAACUUGCCCCGAGAUGAGUUCUCCCUGACUCCUUGAGAGUCCUGAAGGAACGUUGAAGACGACGACGUUGAUAGGCCGGGUGUGUAAGCGCAGCGAUGCGUUGAGCUAACCGGUACUAAUGAACCGUGAGGCUUAACCU